AUCACUUCUUGGCCUUCUGACUAAGACCAAGUGCAGCAUCUAUUAUUAUCUUUAUGCAUCUCUGUCUGGGGAUUAUGUAUUAAAUGGAUUUUUGGAACUAGAAGAUGGUCUAGCAGCUUGCUUCUUCCUUUCCACAAAGUGUCUCCAGGAACUCCUU
Molecule: small nuclear RNA, 157 nt
Filed under: Chelonia mydas (Green sea turtle)
Lineage: Eukaryota; Metazoa; Chordata; Testudines; Cheloniidae
Description: U2 spliceosomal RNA
Rfam family: U2 spliceosomal RNA
About the family: U2 is a small nuclear RNA (snRNA) component of the spliceosome (involved in pre-mRNA splicing). Complementary binding between U2 snRNA (in an area lying towards the 5' end but 3' to hairpin I) and the branchpoint sequence (BPS) of the intron results the bulging out of an unpaired adenosine, on the BPS, which initiates a nucleophilic attack at the intronic 5' splice site, thus starting the first of two transesterification reactions that mediate splicing.
Source: Rfam by way of RNAcentral